UCCGAUAUGGUGUAGUGGCUAACAUUAUCGCCUCUCAUGAAGAACGCGAUAGCCCGGGGUUCGAUUCCCCGUGUCGGAA
RNAcentral lists this transfer RNA (79 nucleotides) under Botryobasidium botryosum FD-172 SS1. It matches the Rfam family "tRNA". Rfam says of the family: Transfer RNA (tRNA) molecules are approximately 80 nucleotides in length. Their secondary structure includes four short double-helical elements and three loops (D, anti-codon, and T loops). Further hydrogen bonds mediate the characteristic L-shaped molecular structure. tRNAs have two regions of fundamental functional importance: the anti-codon, which is responsible for specific mRNA codon recognition, and the 3' end, to which the tRNAs corresponding amino acid is attached (by aminoacyl-tRNA synthetases). tRNAs cope with the degeneracy of the genetic code in two manners: having more than one tRNA (with a specific anti-codon) for a particular amino acid; and 'wobble' base-pairing, i.e. permitting non-standard base-pairing at the 3rd anti-codon position. Lineage: Eukaryota; Fungi; Basidiomycota; Agaricomycetes; Cantharellales; Botryobasidiaceae. The record is from Rfam by way of RNAcentral.